Long non-coding RNA from Bos taurus (domestic cattle), 2063 nucleotides. The record is from Ensembl. Lineage: Eukaryota; Metazoa; Chordata; Mammalia; Artiodactyla; Bovidae.
GUCCUAACCAUUGGACCACCAAGGAAGUCCUUCCAAUUCUGGUUACUGUUGAUCAAAUAUGCCCUGAAAACCCUGGGUCCUCCUGGUAAGCAUAGCUUGAAGCAUAGCUCCAGAGCUGCAUCCCUCCUCCUAGCUCCCACGAGGGAGAUGAAGUGUUUCUGUAGGCAGGCAGUCACCUCUUUCCCUGGGAGCUUCUCCCGCUCCUGCUCCUGUCUCCCACCUGAGCCCAGGCCAACUCCCACCCACCCCUCUCAGGUGGACUCAGCAUAGGAAGAUGAAGCCAGCUGCUGCCAAGUGAGAACUGUCAGUGCUGGGAACUGGUCUCCCACAGCCCCCUUCCUAAAGAGAAGCCCCAUCUCCCACCUGGGACCGCCCCAGUGCCAGCCAGGGAGGCGCUGUGGGCACUCGGUUGUUGGGGCAGAAACACUCACCUUGCCCAGAACAGUUGAUUCUAGAGACUGAGGGACACUGUUCUGACCUGGGACGGAUGUCCUGAAAGCACCUGAGCUUCCUCUGUGUCCUUGACAAAGAAUCUAGCAGCCAGCACUGGACAACAGCCGGCACCGGAGAACAGCCAGCAUCUUUCAUCACCCGGGAGGUGCCUGGACCAGCUCUGCCCUGGGCUCUACAGACACCCUUUCCUCCUGUCAGCAGUGUUCUUUACCGUGAGGUCAUGCCUUCUCACCUUGAGUGUGGAAAGAUCUAAAGGUCUAAUACAAGGAUGUGAGCCCAGGGCCACUCCAAAAAGGCCUCUGGGUACCCCCUGAGACCAGCCACAGGAGUUCCCUGCCCCAAACUGUCCAGACUAGCCCACCAAGCUGCCUCACAGAGGCCAAAAUCUUGAAGCAAUCAAUAGAAGGGUUUUCCCUAGAGCUGUGUUGUGCUCAGUCGCUUCAGUUGUGUCCGACUCUUUGUAAACCCAUGGACUGUAGCCCGCCAGGCUCCUCUGUCCAUGGCAUUCUCCAGGUAAGAAUACUGGAAUGUGUUGCCAUUUCCUUCUCCAAGAGAUCUUUCCUACCCAGGGAUUAAACCCACAUCUCCUGUGUCUCCUGCAUUGGCAGGUGGAUUCUUUACUUGCCUAGAGGAGCCUUGGUGCCUAUUUCCUUUGGGAGCUCAGCAGUUGAUCAGGACUAUAGGCACUCCGACCUGGCCACACACCAUGUGAUACAACCACUGGCAUUCAUAGGUAGAUAAGCAAAACAACACUGAGAUAAGUGAUACCACCCAUUCCUAGGUAUGGCCAGGUUUUCCCCAUAAAUCACGCUGCCUGAGGUGAGCCACCUUGUAUCCACAGAGAGACCACCUCUCUCUGCUUUCAAUACUUUGUCCUUGGUCAGUACUGGAGUCACCCUCAGAGUUGGGCCCAUGUGGAAAGCUGCUCAUCUUCCAGAAAAUCUCUGUUGACAACGUUGUCUACUAGGUAGCAGACUCAGGAAACCCUUUUCAGAAUCUGCUGUUGGGAAAACUCUUGGCUUCUCGAUGGAGUUUCUGGAGCACAGUGUGUCUCCACUCAUUCCAGCCGACAGGAAGCUCAGGUGCUGUCAGGACGUCUGUCCCAGUUCAUUUCCAGUGUCCUUCAUAAGAUUUUGGAUCUUUCUAUUUGACCGUUUAAAAUACAUUUGGUGUUUUUAAUAAAAAGCUUUCCUAAAUCUUGUAUGCAUGGAAGGAAUAGGCUGAGUAUAAUAAAGACAUUGGUUCAGUUUGUGAAUAAUUCACCUGCCCCUGGAGCUCCGUGGAGGCAGAGGGUACUGGAUGUGGGUGUGCCCAUGUGCUUUCCUGUGGGGAGGGCAUUGACUGCCCUUUGCCAUGCUCUUCAAACACCAAGCCUCCUCCUGAGCCCUGGGAUCCUACACCUGGGCAAACAGUGGCAUGGGAGUGUCUUUUGCAGUUUCACUCAUCCUCUUCAAAUUGAGGUUGAAAGAAAGCAACUCCCUGUGGGAACUGGAACACUCAAUAGUAUUCCCAAGGCCGAGACUUCAUUGCAGUGAGAUGUCAUGUCAUCAUUUCCCCACUUGCAAAGCCUGGAGACUUUCAGAGUUGAGGCUGGAGGCUGUUCUUGGGAG